GAUGAACGCUAGCGGCAGGCUUAAUACAUGCAAGUCAAGGGGGUAGCAAUACAACCGGCGCACGGGUGAGUAACGCGUACACAACAUACCAUAUACUGGAGUAUAGCUUUGGGAAACUGAAGGUAAUCCUCCAUAACAUUGCGAGAGGGCAUCUGAUUGCAAUUAAAGUUUCGGCGGUAUAUGAUUGGUGUGCGUUUGAUUAGCUAGUUGGUAGGGUAACGGCCUACCAAGGCGACGAUCAAUAGCUGGCGUGAGAGCGCGACCAGCCACACUGGAACUGAGACACGGUCCAGACUCCUACGGGAGGCAGCAGUGGGGAAUAUUGGACAAUGGAGGAAACUCUGAUCCAGCCAUGCCGCGUGAUAGAUGAAGGCCCUCUGGGUUGUAAAUAUCUUUUAUCUGGGAAGAAACACUCCUAUUCUUAGGAACUUGACGGUACCAGAGGAAUAAGCACCGGCUAACUCCGUGCCAGCAGCCGCGGUAAAGUA
RNAcentral lists this ribosomal RNA (488 nucleotides) under uncultured bacterium. RNAcentral describes it as "bacterial SSU rRNA". It matches the Rfam family "Bacterial small subunit ribosomal RNA", at positions 28 to 527 of the family's 1533-position model. The record is from RNAcentral.